Molecule: ribosomal RNA, 446 nt
Filed under: uncultured bacterium
Lineage: Bacteria
Description: bacterial SSU rRNA
Rfam family: Bacterial small subunit ribosomal RNA
Source: RNAcentral
GUCCAGACUCCUACGGGAGGCAGCAGUGGGGAAUAUUGCACAAUGGGGGGAACCCUGAUGCAGCGACGCCGCGUGAGUGAAGAAGUCAUUCGUGAUGUAAAGCUCUAUCAGCAGGGAAGAAAAUGACGGUACCUGACUAAGAAGCCCCGGCUAACUACGUGCCAGCAGCCGCGGUAAUACGUAGGGGGCAAGCGUUAUCCGGAUUUACUGGGUGUAAAGGGAGCGUAGACGGCAGCGCAAGUCCGAAGUGAAAGCCCGGGGCCCAACCCCGGGACUGCUUUGGAAACUGUAUAACUGGAGUGCAGGAGAGGUAAGUGGAAUUCCUAGUGUAGCGGUGAAAUGCGUAGAUAUUAGGAGGAACACCAGUGGCGAAGGCGGCUUACUGGACUGUAACUGACGUUGAGGCUCGAAAGCGUGGGGAGCAAACAGGAUUAGAUACCCCGGUA